This 390-nucleotide ribosomal RNA is filed under the name Triticum aestivum (bread wheat). Its description in RNAcentral is "partial small subunit ribosomal RNA". The record is from RNAcentral. Lineage: Eukaryota; Viridiplantae; Streptophyta; Magnoliopsida; Poales; Poaceae.
UGGUUGGCUGGAAUAAGUGGUAGAUUUACUUAUAUUUGGCUAUGGCAGCCCUCUGAAGGUGCUUCUGGAGGGCUGCUUAUGGGGGUUCGGGAAGAUCUAUUUGAGGUUGACGUCUGUAUUGCAGAUACAUACAUGACCAGAAUGGUUAUUAUGGAUAAAAGAUCAGGAUUCAAGUGGAAUCUGAUCAAUGUCUAUGGAGCUGCUCAUGUGAGGAAUAAGGAGGAGUUCCUGAUGGAGCUAGUGCAAGCUCUGGGGUACAAUAAAUUGCCCUGUGUUUUUGGGGGCGAUUUUAACUUAAUUAGGAGAAUUAACGAGAGAAACAAAAUUAAAAAACUUCCAAAAUGGUCUUUUUAUUUUAAUUCUAUUAUUGAGCAUUGGGGCUUAAAAGAA